Molecule: ribosomal RNA, 1407 nt
Filed under: Oxalobacteraceae bacterium
Lineage: Bacteria; Pseudomonadati; Pseudomonadota; Betaproteobacteria; Burkholderiales; Oxalobacteraceae
Description: bacterial SSU rRNA
Rfam family: Bacterial small subunit ribosomal RNA
Source: RNAcentral
GCUUGCUGCAGUCGAACGGCAGCGCGGGGCAACCUGGCGGCGAGUGGCGAACGGGUGAGUAAUAUAUCGGAACGUACCCUGGAGUGGGGGAUAACGUAGCGAAAGUUACGCUAAUACCGCAUACGAUCUAAGGAUGAAAGUGGGGGAUCGCAAGACCUCAUGCUCCUGGAGCGGCCGAUAUCUGAUUAGCUAGUUGGUGGGGUAAAGGCCCACCAAGGCAUCGAUCAGUAGCUGGUCUGAGAGGACGACCAGCCACACUGGAACUGAGACACGGUCCAGACUCCUACGGGAGGCAGCAGUGGGGAAUUUUGGACAAUGGGCGCAAGCCUGAUCCAGCAAUGCCGCGUGAGUGAAGAAGGCCUUCGGGUUGUAAAGCUCUUUUGUCAGGGAAGAAACGACAUCCUCUAAUACAGGGUGUUAAUGACGGUACCUGAAGAAUAAGCACCGGCUAACUACGUGCCAGCAGCCGCGGUAAUACGUAGGGUGCAAGCGUUAAUCGGAAUUACUGGGCGUAAAGCGUGCGCAGGCGGUUUUGUAAGUCUGUUGUGAAAUCCCCGGGCUCAACCUGGGAAUGGCAAUGGAGACUGCAAGGCUAGAGUUUGGCAGAGGGGGGUAGAAUUCCACGUGUAGCAGUGAAAUGCGUAGAUAUGUGGAGGAACACCGAUGGCGAAGGCAGCCCCCUGGGUCAAAACUGACGCUCAUGCACGAAAGCGUGGGGAGCAAACAGGAUUAGAUACCCUGGUAGUCCACGCCCUAAACGAUGUCUACUAGUUGUCGGGUCUUAAUUGACUUGGUAACGCAGCUAACGCGUGAAGUAGACCGCCUGGGGAGUACGGUCGCAAGAUUAAAACUCAAAGGAAUUGACGGGGACCCGCACAAGCGGUGGAUGAUGUGGAUUAAUUCGAUGCAACGCGAAAAACCUUACCUACCCUUGACAUGGCAGGAAUCCCGGAGAGAUUUGGGAGUGCUCGAAAGAGAACCUGCACACAGGUGCUGCAUGGCUGUCGUCAGCUCGUGUCGUGAGAUGUUGGGUUAAGUCCCGCAACGAGCGCAACCCUUGUCAUUAGUUGCUACGAAAGGGCACUCUAAUGAGACUGCCGGUGACAAACCGGAGGAAGGUGGGGAUGACGUCAAGUCCUCAUGGCCCUUAUGGGUAGGGCUUCACACGUCAUACAAUGGUACAUACAGAGCGCCGCCAACCCGCGAGGGGGAGCUAAUCGCAGAAAGUGUAUCGUAGUCCGGAUUGUAGUCUGCAACUCGACUGCAUGAAGUUGGAAUCGCUAGUAAUCGCGGAUCAGCAUGUCGCGGUGAAUACGUUCCCGGGUCUUGUACACACCGCCCGUCACACCAUGGGAGCGGGUUUUACCAGAAGUAGGUAGCUUAACCGCAAGGAGGGCGCUAUCACGU